AUACGGAGGGUGCAAGCGUUGUUCGGAAUUACUGGGCGUAAAGCGCGCGUAGGCGGUCUGUUAUGUCAGAUGUGAAAGUCCUCGGCUCAACCGGGGAAGUGCAUUUGAAACUGGCAGACUUGAGUACUGGAGGGGGUGGUGGAAUUCCCGGUGUAGAGGUGAAAUUCGUAGAUAUCGGGAGGAAUACCGGUGGCGAAGGCGACCACCUGGUCAGAUACGGACGCUGAGGUGCGAAAGCGUGGGGAGCAAACAGGAUUAGAAACCCGAGUAGUCC
Molecule: ribosomal RNA, 274 nt
Filed under: uncultured bacterium
Lineage: Bacteria
Description: partial 16S ribosomal RNA
Rfam family: Bacterial small subunit ribosomal RNA
Source: RNAcentral